RNAcentral lists this long non-coding RNA (1157 nucleotides) under Mytilus galloprovincialis (Mediterranean mussel). Lineage: Eukaryota; Metazoa; Mollusca; Bivalvia; Mytilida; Mytilidae. The record is from RNAcentral.
GUUUUUCGUUUAUGUUCAAAAAUAUUUACUGAGAAAAUGUAAUGUACUGUUUAAGGUGUUCCAAAUGAAGACGCGUCAUUACCGUCGAAAGAUAUAUGUACAAUGUUAGUGUCUACAGUCCUUGCUACAGGUAUGCUUUAAAUAAGAAUCAGUUGAUUUUACAUUAAAAAAAAACUAGUUUUCUGUCACUCUUAGAAUCAUUUUCAUAACAGGCUCGACAACCGCAAUAAUUAUGUUGGUAAAAAUACUGAAUCGUUUACCUUUAACUUUUUUUGUCAUCGGCUAUUGAUAACAGUGAUUUUACGCUCACCCAGUCUGUCAGAGGCCUUCCAAUGGGGAAUAAAAUAGAAUAAAAGAGUAAAGUACAUGCAGGUGCACUAGAAGAAAAACAGAAAGUUUAAGUAUUCAACAUUUAAAUCAAUUUUUUAUCAUUUAAAUCAGUGAAUUCAAAUACAUUAUGUAAAUGCAUGUUACAAACAAUAUUAAAAAUACUAAUGGCGUGAGAAGUGUCAUAUGUAACAAAACAUAACUUUACAAUAAGCAAUAACAUAAAGUACAAGCACUUGUAUCAAGAAACUAAAAUCUGACGAUAUUCGUUAAGUAUGAGAAUGGCAGACUUUUCGUUAACUUGAGUUUUCCUUAAUGAAUAAUGACAAAUAUAUACAAAUAUAUAUAUAUAUAUAUAUAUACUUCAUGUAUCAUCCUGCUGACUUCCAGUUUGUUUUAAAAUUCAGUCUACGAGAAACAUAUAAUUUCAUUUGCAAUUCAAAAAGGACGGUUUUUCUACUUUCUUUUUCCUUUAAAUUAAAGUAUUUGCAUAUUUCAGCAUCCAUUGGUGAUGUUGAUGGAGAUGGAGUCUUAGAUUUGAUAGCAAGGAUUGACAAGUCUGGAGACAAAUUUAAUCGAAAAAAACGCAUGUUUUCCACAAUAAGUUCUAGCACUGUAGUAAAAAUUAGUUUGCAUGAUUAUUUAAGGCAAAGCAAAACAAGAGUUAAUGUUGAUGCUGUGCAUACAUUUAAGGAACAGCAUUUAGAGAAAAACUUGAUAGAUGUAGAUCUAUUGCCAUCAGGUCAGCAGAUAUGGACAAGCUAUAUGGGGAAAAUGGGAAAUGGAUAUUAUGACAUGGCGUAACUAUGUAGACAAAGGGGGAAUUAAUG